GCCAGCCCGCUCAGAAACUUAAAGGAAGUUGACGGGGCCCGCGACAAGCGGUGGAGCAUGUGGUUAAUUCGAAGCAACGCGAAGAACCUUACCAGGCCUUGACAUGCAGAGAACUUUCCAGAGAUGGAUUGGUGCCUUCGGGAACUCUGACACAGGUGCUGCAUGGCUGUCGUCAGCUCGUAUCGUGAGAUGUUGGGUUAAGUCCCGUAACGAGCGCAACCCUUGUCCUUAGUUACCAGCACGUUAUGGUGGGCACUCUAAGGAGACUGCCGGUGACAAACCGGAGGAAGGUGGGGAUGACGUCAAGUCAUCAUGGCCCUUACGGCCUGGGCUACACACGUGCUACAAUGGUCGGUACAAAGGGUUGCCAAGCCGCGAGGUGGAGCUAAUCCCAUAAAACCGAUCGUAGUCCGGAUCGCAGUCUGCAACUCGACUGCGUGAAGUCGGAAUCGCUAGUAAUCGUGAAUCAGAAUGUCACGGUGAAUACGUUCCCGGGCCUU
This 500-nucleotide ribosomal RNA is filed under the name uncultured Pseudomonas sp. RNAcentral describes it as "bacterial SSU rRNA". It matches the Rfam family "Bacterial small subunit ribosomal RNA", at positions 903 to 1382 of the family's 1533-position model. Lineage: Bacteria; Pseudomonadati; Pseudomonadota; Gammaproteobacteria; Pseudomonadales; Pseudomonadaceae. The record is from RNAcentral.